UCCGGCUUGACGCCGGCAGUCCCCCGAGAGUCCUCAGCACCUGUGUUCCCGUUCCCUUUCGGGCACUCUCCCAUCUCUGGGAGAUUCCGUACAAGUCAAGGGUAGGUAAGGUUUUUCGCGUUGCAUCGAAUUAAUCCACAUAAUCCACCGCUUGUGCGGGUCCCCGUCAAUUCCUUUGAGUUUUAACCUUGCGGCCGUACUCCCCAGGCGGUCAACUUCACGCGUUAGCUUCGUUACCAAGGGAAUCAAUCCCCCGACAACCAGUUGACAUAGUUUAGGGCGUGGACUAC
This 290-nucleotide unclassified non-coding RNA is filed under the name uncultured Gammaproteobacteria bacterium. RNAcentral describes it as "contains 16S-23S intergenic spacer region". The record is from RNAcentral. Lineage: Bacteria; Pseudomonadati; Pseudomonadota; Gammaproteobacteria.